This 200-nucleotide ribosomal RNA is filed under the name Oidiodendron maius. Its description in RNAcentral is "partial large subunit ribosomal RNA". It matches the Rfam family "Eukaryotic large subunit ribosomal RNA", at positions 82 to 279 of the family's 3401-position model. Lineage: Eukaryota; Fungi; Ascomycota; Leotiomycetes; Myxotrichaceae. The record is from RNAcentral.
AGUAACGGCGAGUGAAGCGGCAACAGCUCAAAUUUGAAAUCUGGCCCUCUCAGGGUCCGAGUUGUAAUUUGGAGAGGAUGCUUCGGGUGUGGCCCCGGUCUAAGUUCCUUGGAACAAGACGUCACAGAGGGUGAGAAUCCCGUACGUGCCCGGUGGCCGCCCCCGUGUGAAGCUCCUUCGACGAGUCGAGUUGUUUGGGA